Molecule: transfer RNA, 72 nt
Filed under: Hippolais icterina (icterine warbler)
Lineage: Eukaryota; Metazoa; Chordata; Aves; Passeriformes; Sylviidae
Description: tRNA-Ile
Source: RNAcentral
GGAAAUGUGCCUGAGCACUAAGGGCCACUAUGAUAAAGUGGACACAGAGGUAUGCCAGUCCUCUCAUUUCCU